Apus apus (common swift) is the source of this 5988-nucleotide long non-coding RNA. RefSeq lists it as uncharacterized. The record is from RefSeq and is a predicted model, not a curated record. NCBI's taxonomy places the organism in Eukaryota, Metazoa, Chordata, Aves, Apodiformes, Apodidae. The transcript has 5 exons.
AGGGAAUGUCCCCCUCCAACAGUAGUGAUGACCCAGAGAGCUGCAGGAGGUCAGGAAGCAGCGUGAGAGAGGGCUGAUGCCAAACUCAGAGCUGUGUCAUCUGUCAGAGCAAUUUGUUCUCAAGGAGCAAAGGAGAAGUUGUUUUCCUGAAGGAGCGGGUUGGCUGUGGCCACAGGAGCACACUGAAGCCUGUAGCAGCAGGGAACAGGAUUGACCCUGACCGCGAGACUCAAAAAACCCCAAAAAAACCCAACCCAACUAAUAAGAAAACUGGCUGCGCCCAGCAAUUGUCUGCAGCACCGGGAAGGGCGCAGGAAAACCCGCUGGAAGAACGCGGGAGCGCAUCCGCCCUGCAGCUGUGGUGCCAGGAGCCACCUCCGCACAGUGUGGUCAGCAAAGCCCAGUGAGGAGUCAUCGCUGGCCACUCAGCACAUUAGCUGAGUUUCCGUCUUUGCACGCAUCCUCUGUCUCAGACUGGUUUUGGAAAGGAAAGCACUGGCUGGUGUAUUUACCUUGGAAGCCCGUCGUUCACUUCAGAGCUUAGACCUGGAUUUUAAAGCCUCAGUUUUGCAGGAUGUGCUACACAGUGGCAAGCUGAAGAUAACCCCCAACAGCAGCAAGAGGGGGUCAUUUGCAGAUUGGCAGCUCUGGCUGUGCCUUCUGCUUCCCCCAGGAGCCUCGUGUUUAUGCUGUGCUUGCUGUGAGGGAUUGCUCAGCAAGCUGAUCUACUCCAACAGCAGGGAUGGCAGCCAGUGGAACCCGUAUCCCCACACAGAUCACUCAAAAAGCAGCUAAAAGACAGCCUUAGCCUCUGCCCUGUACUCCAGCAGGUCAGCUCCAGCUCUGAAGAAAUUUGCAGGGAGCAGGAGUGCAGAUGUGGCAGAGCAGGUGUCUCUAGGCUGGUGUAGUGCUGGGGUAGAUGGGAUAAUGCAUUUUCUAUAGCCUGAUUGCUCUCUGGUUGGCUGAGGACUUCACAGAAGGAGACAAACCCAGAUUGAUCCUGUUCAUCUGAACAAAGUAAAAGGUGCUGUUACCUAUUUGCCAGGAAUGCAGGCAGGGAUAUGGAGCGGGAACAGUGUAACUGAAGCUUUAACACCCACCUAUAACCAUUUCUGCAUGAGGUGAUUGUGCUUUGCAGGGCAUACCUUCAAUUUGGUGGCUCAGGGAUUUGCAAACAGUGAGUCAUAACUCCCUGGGGUCAAAAAUGCAGCUGCUGAGGCACCAGGCAUUGAAAAGUGUUGUCCAAGAUAAAAGCAAAGCAAACCUCUCUGCCCACACACCCUUAUCCUUCAAGGCUGAGUAUCUUUGUCACCCUUUUCAAAAACAUGCACUCAAAAUGAUACAGGCUUCUCGUGGUUGCCAUUGAUACGGAAUUUACUUCUCCUUUUAAGUAGACAAGAGGGGAUUGCGAAAAUCUGUGACUUGAAAGAGUUGAGGCAGAGAGACCAGAAGCUGAUACGUAGCACCCUGUGCCUGCAGAGAGGUGGCUGGCACUUGGGGACAGAAUGGAGCUGUGGGAAAUGUCUGUGUCCUUCCCAGGGAGGGUCCCAGAAGAGCAGACAACCCCUGGCCCUUGGCAUCCAGGCUGGACCUGCAGACCUUGCAGAGCGUGCAUACAGCCAGUCCGGUUCCUGCCCAGGGAGCACUGACUCACUGCUGAGGAAGAAGCAACGUGUGAGUCACCUGUCCCAUAAAGUAUCCCACUCAUAGUGCUCAUGUGGCACCAGGCUCCUGUCCCGUGACAGGUGCUGGGUACAACAACAUGGCAUGGCCACCACCUUUGCCACAAAACGCCUGGUUGCAGAGCUCACGUGGCUGCUCCAGCCCAUCACACAGUGACCUGUCUGAGAGGAUGGUGGCACAUGUGGGUCCUGCAGAGCCUUCCAGGCACUGCCAGCCACCAGCCUGGCCUGCCUGUCCCCGUGACUUCAAAGCCACUAGUGUCAUGAGCUGCAAGGUUCUCAGGCAUACUGGACCUUCCCUGUGAAGGCUUGAGAGGUUGGUAAGUAACAGCUUGCAGAACCUGCUGCUUUGGUAACAUGCUGCUCCAACAGAACCUUGAUUCCUGAAGAAAAGCCAGUUCUGCAAAGGCCUCUGCAGUUCUGUGCUGGCUGUGUGCACUACUCUCUGUACCUAUUUUUAUACCAUUCCUUUGGUUUCAAAAAACCUUUCAGAAAUGUCCGUGCUUAGAGGGACCCAGAUCUGACAAAAUAACUGACUCAGUCUGGCCUCAGGGAAGUUACCUCACUGCCUGGGUCAUCUUCUCAACUUGAGCACUGGGAAUAAUCAUAUGAAAUUACCUGGCAUAGCUCCAACACAGCUGUAAAAAUUAAUUAGCUGGUAUUUGGCACUGGCUGUAAAAGUUGGAAGGUGUUGGUGUUGUCAAACCUCUGUAGCUGGAGAGGCCAUAAGGGAGUCCUGCAGGAGAAUUGGGUGAUGGUCACUAUUUGUGUGAUAGCCUCUUGGGAUAGUCUGCACCAUCAAAACACCCCUUUGCCCUGUGGCACUUGAUUAUUCCAUGGGCUUUGGCUUCCACCAGAUAACUACAGUGCUGUUAAAUGGGUGGUGCCCACCUUGCACCAUGGCCCAGCAGCAUGGGCUUGUGUCUCCCUGCCAGUCUUGCCAGGCCCAGUGUAGGCACUUGUCUAAGGGGGUGUCCCCUGUGCUCAGCUGUCCAUGGCUCUGAGGGAGGCUGACUCAAAGGCAGAGCAAGGGCAAGAUCUGGACAUCUCAGGGAGCGAGGUGGCUCCGAAGGGAAGGUGCCAGCGUUGCUGCCUCCCAGUAUCAAAGGGAUCACAAAGUGGUUUUGUGGCUCUUGCUGUUGAACAGGGGGAAGCAGUCCAACAAGUCCAAAGGCAUUUCUUUUAUGUGCCUGUGCCUGCAGUGCCUGGUGUGAGGGAACAUGCCAGAACCAGGCUUUGCAGCCCUGCAGGUCGGCCCCCUCCGUGUGGGGCUCAGGCUCCCAUGUUGGUGUUUAGACCCUUUAUCAAUGCUUUGUUUUUUCAAGAUGUCCAACCUCCAGCAGCUGCUAUUUUAUCAGUGAGGACAGAUGCUGGUAAUACCUUGUGCUAUAUGCAAUGUCCUCUGCACCUCAGCAGAAGCCCAGAUUGGAGCUCUGCCAUGAGAUUGCAGUUGCUUCCUAGACUUGGUGUCUGGUGAUCAGGUCUUGUCCAGGGCUGGCUUCUUGCUUUCAUGUGUUGCUGCUGCAUGACUUGGAAAUCGGCUGAGGAUUGCAAAGGUGAAAGCAUGAGUAGAUUACCAGAGUGGAAUUUGUACUGCAGGCAGGGAUUAGGGGGCAGGCAAAAGACUGUGGCUGUGCUCUUGCCAGUAGAAAUGCACACGUGGUCAUGGAAUAGCAGAUUUCUGAGGACCAGAAUGCCAGCGGAAGCAGGAUCAAUCUGCUUUAGACAAGAUAAACUGAAGGAUGACAAUGCUUGGGUUACAGAAGCGAGAUAUUGUGUGUUUACUGCACUUUAGUUCCCCUUUUUUAUUUUAGUAAGUUAGAUCAUUAUAAUGAUAAUUUGAGGAAGCUGGCCUGGAAAGCUAAUGGUGACAAGGAAAGCGUUGCACAGCUAGUUGAAAGAAACUGGCUUUACACAGGAAUCUCCAGUUGCACAGAGCAGUACAGCCCCUGUGCUGCCACAUCUUGCUGGGCACAGAGGCAAAGAAGGGUCCCAGGGCUGUGCCCAGCAAUGAGGAAGGGGGGCUGCAGGACUCUGAAGAGCUAAGAAAUACUGGAGAAGUAUCAGAGGAAUGAGCAGGCUCUCCCCAAGCUUUUAAUGUCACAGAUGGCCAGAGCUGGGGUGGUUUGCCUCCUGGGAAGAGCGUGAAUUUGGCCCUGGGGGAAUGUCAGAUGUUCACAGCUCAUGGUGAAGAUUUGUGGGUACUACAGAUAAGCCAGUGUGCUCCCUGGACCUCUCUGCAGGCCUUUCCAAAAUCAGCAACCAGCAAGUGUUUUUGUAUCCCUGUUCACUCCGCCAUUCUAGGGACUAAGAAGAGAAAGGGAGGGUCCCUUUUGGUCCAAGGACAAAAGCAGAGAGAUGGCCUAAGACAUACCAUGUUUUAUUGUCUCAUUGGAUCAGGAAGAUCAGUAAACAGAGAUUUGAUGUCACAAAGGGAAGAAAAUCAAAGCUGGAGAUGUUCUUACUUCCUGGUUUAGAGGGACGAGUGCAUGAAAUUGGCCGAGGUUUCUGCACUGGUAAAUGUCUGCAGACCUGUCACUAUAACCUUAGGGAUCUGCUGACCUGAGUGAAGGUCCCUCAAAGGCAGAGCAUUGAUUUCUGCAGCAAUGUUAGUGAUUGGCAUUGGGUUUCAAAUGGAUCAGUCUUUAUGGGUUUUUCAUUGGGUUUUGAUAGGUCUUCACAGGCUACUGAGUCGAAGUGUGCUGGGCUGCUGACUGCAGCACGCUCUGGUUUCUCCAUGUGUUUGUUCUGGUGGGGAGGUGUGUGUGUGUGUGUGUGCCUGCACGGCCAGGCAAAACACAACAGCCAUGGCUCAAUACUUCUAUUUGCCACUUUCUUACCACUGAUUUUCUCCUUUCAUUCUGCCACCAUGAACGCAGGUCUCCUUGCUGCCAAAAGGCACCUGUCUCUCUGCUGACACUGUCCUCCCGAGUGCCGGGAUUCCCGUGUUCUCCAAGGCCAGUGGGAUCAUGCCUUGUCAGUCUGAAAAAAUGCUGCAUUCCCACAGAGGGGCAGGAAUUCAUCAUGAGCAGCUACUGCAUGACACAGCUGUUGGUCAUGCCAAGAAAAUGAGCAAGUGGCACAGGAACUUGGUGCAAGGUUAUCCUCUGUGGAACAAGGGUGGGUGAUGGAUGGUGCCAGGAUCGCUCUGCGGUGGAGGAGGAAGUGUCACCUGCAGCUUUUGAUUGCUUUUCAUGUUAUGUAGACAGAAAGAAAAAAGGAAACUUUUGGGAAAAGAGAGCUGAGGAGCACUCUGUAACUAAUCAUUAAUGUGUACUCCUAACAGCCCAGCAUGUGAGUCUCCUGUUAGAGGAGCUGGGACAAGCCAGUGCUCUGCCCCACAAGCUGCUGAUGUGCCCAGGGCCCACAGCCCCAGGGCUGAGCUGGGGAGAUACCUUCCUCCCCAUCCACAGAAAUCACGUCUGUUUGGGAGGGUUUUCUCCAUCAUGUCACUAAUCAGAGCUUUUCCUCUUUUGUCCAGUCUGGGUUUUAACUGGUACCAGGUUCUUCUGCAGCUCUUUGCAUCUUACGGGGCACUUUAUAAGUAUGAAUAAACCAGAUGUCACAGCCUCCCCUCUCUCAAGUGAUGGUAACAGUGACACAGUCCUGCAGGUAGAGAAGAUCCAAAACUGGUAAUGAACUUUCUGGCAUUAUAUGAGGAGAGCCUGGCAGCCCUGGCUCCUCUUCACCUUCUGCAUUUCCACAACUUCAACCAGCCCAAGGACCACUGGCCGUGUCCUGCCUCGCCCAGCCCUUCCCUUGCCUGGGGUGUACCCUGCACGAAGCCAGUUCCCUGCACCGAACUGCUGGAAAGUGUAUCCCUGCUGCUUUUGCUGUUAGCAGCAGAUGCAGGGAAGUGACUCAGGGCAGGGCCAGUGGAGAGCUCAGGAGAGCACCACUGUAAGCACCUGAGCUGGCUGCACUAGGGUUCCUCUAUUGAUCCAGAACUGCUUGGUGGGCACCAAGGAAUGAGACCUCGCAGCACCUUUCCAGGGUGAGCAUUCCUGUUUCCAGGUGGCAGACGGGGAAACGUCCUACAGAGGAGGCAAGCAGUUUGGCUAAUGGUAUGUGGCAGAUCUGUCUCGGGACAGGAGAGAGAGCAAAGGUCUUUUCCCUGCCAGCUCUGUGAUCUCUGCUCAUCAGCCUGUCCCUCAGAGCUGGAAGCAGGCUGCUCUAUCUACACUGCUUAGAAGCAAAAUUCUUUUCUAACGUAGCUGUAAUUAGCUCUAUUCUUUUUUUCCUUGGUUGUUUUGCUUUCCAGAGUUCACAGGUUAAUAAAACCCCCCAGUGGUCGUGUGACUUGUAA